AUCCCAGAACUUUCCAGAGAUGGAUUGGUGCCUUCGGGAACUGUGAGACAGGUGCUGCAUGGCUGUCGUCAGCUCGUGUUGUGAAAUGUUGGGUUAAGUCCCGCAACGAGCGCAACCCUUAUCCUUUGUUGCCAGCGGUUAGGCCGGGAACUCAAAGGAGACUGCCAGUGAUAAACUGGAGGAAGGUGGGGAUGACGUCAAGUCAUCAUGGCCCUUACGACCAGGGCUACACACGUGCUACAAUGGCAUAUACAAAGAGAAGCGACCUCGCGAGAGCAAGCGGACCUCAUAAAGUAUGUCGUAGUCCGGAUUGGAGUCUGCAACUCGACUCCAUGAAGUCGGAAUCGCUAGUAAUCGUAGAUCAGAAUGCUACGGUGAAUACGUUCCCGGGCUGGGUACACACCGAACGUC
RNAcentral lists this ribosomal RNA (411 nucleotides) under Klebsiella sp. SG51. RNAcentral describes it as "bacterial SSU rRNA". It matches the Rfam family "Bacterial small subunit ribosomal RNA", at positions 986 to 1398 of the family's 1533-position model. Lineage: Bacteria; Pseudomonadati; Pseudomonadota; Gammaproteobacteria; Enterobacterales; Enterobacteriaceae. The record is from RNAcentral.